This 301-nucleotide ribosomal RNA is filed under the name uncultured bacterium. Its description in RNAcentral is "partial 16S ribosomal RNA". It matches the Rfam family "Bacterial small subunit ribosomal RNA", at positions 509 to 807 of the family's 1533-position model. The record is from RNAcentral.
CAGUCGCCGCGGGAACACAGAGGGUGCGAGCGUUAAUCGGAUUUACUGGGCGUAAAGCGUGCGUAGGCGGCUAAUUGAGUCGGAUGUGAAAUCCCUGAGCUUAACUUGGGAAUUGCAUUCGAUACUGGUUAGCUAGAGUGUGGGAGAGGAUGGUAGAAUUCCAGGUGUAGCGGUGAAAUGCGUAGAGAUCUGGAGGAAUACCGGUGGCGAAGGCGGCCCCCUGGACAAAGACUGACGCUCAGGUGCGAAAGCGUGGGGAGCAAACAGGAUUAGAUACCCGGGUAGUCCCUGUCUCUUAUAC